RNAcentral lists this ribosomal RNA (1899 nucleotides) under Escherichia coli. RNAcentral's name for it is "partial 23S ribosomal RNA". It matches the Rfam family "Bacterial large subunit ribosomal RNA", at positions 351 to 2236 of the family's 2925-position model. The record is from RNAcentral. Lineage: Bacteria; Pseudomonadati; Pseudomonadota; Gammaproteobacteria; Enterobacterales; Enterobacteriaceae.
CGCGCGAUACAGGGUGACAGCCCCGUACACAAAAAUGCACAUGCUGUGAGCUCGAUGAGUAGGGCGGGACACGUGGUAUCCUGUCUGAAUAUGGGGGGACCAUCCUCCAAGGCUAAAUACUCCUGACUGACCGAUAGUGAACCAGUACCGUGAGGGAAAGGCGAAAAGAACCCCGGCGAGGGGAGUGAAAAAGAACCUGAAACCGUGUACGUACAAGCAGUGGGAGCACAGAGCAAUCUGUGUGACUGCGUACCUUUUGUAUAAUGGGUCAGCGACUUAUAUUCUGUAGCAAGGUUAACCGAAUAGGGGAGCCGAAGGGAAACCGAGUCUUAACUGGGCGUUAAGUUGCAGGGUAUAGACCCGAAACCCGGUGAUCUAGCCAUGGGCAGGUUGAAGGUUGGGUAACACUAACUGGAGGACCGAACCGACUAAUGUUGAAAAAUUAGCGGAUGACUUGUGGCUGGGGGUGAAAGGCCAAUCAAACCGGGAGAUAGCUGGUUCUCCCCGAAAGCUAUUUAGGUAGCGCCUCGUGAAUUCAUCUCCGGGGGUAGAGCACUGUUUCGGCAAGGGGGUCAUCCCGACUUACCAACCCGAUGCAAACUGCGAAUACCGGAGAAUGUUAUCACGGGAGACACACGGCGGGUGCUAACGUCCGUCGUGAAGAGGGAAACAACCCAGACCGCCAGCUAAGGUCCCAAAGUCAUGGUUAAGUGGGAAACGAUGUGGGAAGGCCCAGACAGCCAGGAUGUUGGCUUAGAAGCAGCCAUCAUUUAAAGAAAGCGUAAUAGCUCACUGGUCGAGUCGGCCUGCGCGGAAGAUGUAACGGGGCUAAACCAUGCACCGAAGCUGCGGCAGCGACGCUGAUGCGUUGUUGGGUAGGGGAGCGUUCUGUAAGCCUGUGAAGGUGUGCUGUGAGGCAUGCUGGAGGUAUCAGAAGUGCGAAUGCUGACAUAAGUAACGAUAAAGCGGGUGAAAAGCCCGCUCGCCGGAAGACCAAGGGUUCCUGUCCAACGUUAAUCGGGGCAGGGUGAGUCGACCCCUAAGGCGAGGCCGAAAGGCGUAGUCGAUGGGAAACAGGUUAAUAUUCCUGUACUUGGUGUUACUGCGAAGGGGGGACGGAGAAGGCUAUGUUGGCCGGGCGACGGUUGUCCCGGUUUAAGCGUGUAGGCUGGUUUUCCAGGCAAAUCCGGAAAAUCAAGGCUGAGGCGUGAUGACGAGGCACUACGGUGCUGAAGCAACAAAUGCCCUGCUUCCAGGAAAAGCCUCUAAGCAUCAGGUAACAUCAAAUCGUACCCCAAACCGACACAGGUGGUCAGGUAGAGAAUACCAAGGCGCUUGAGAGAACUCGGGUGAAGGAACUAGGCAAAAUGGUGCCGUAACUUCGGGAGAAGGCACGCUGAUAUGUAGGUGAAGUCCCUCGCGGAUGGAGCUGAAAUCAGUCGAAGAUACCAGCUGGCUGCAACUGUUUAUUAAAAACACAGCACUGUGCAAACACGAAAGUGGACGUAUACGGUGUGACGCCUGCCCGGUGCCGGAAGGUUAAUUGAUGGGGUCAGCGCAAGCGAAGCUCUUGAUCGAAGCCCCGGUAAACGGCGGCCGUAACUAUAACGGUCCUAAGGUAGCGAAAUUCCUUGUCGGGUAAGUUCCGACCUGCACGAAUGGCGUAAUGAUGGCCAGGCUGUCUCCACCCGAGACUCAGUGAAAUUGAACUCGCUGUGAAGAUGCAGUGUACCCGCGGCAAGACGGAAAGACCCCGUGAACCUUUACUAUAGCUUGACACUGAACAUUGAGCCUUGAUGUGUAGGAUAGGUGGGAGGCUUUGAAGUGUGGACGCCAGUCUGCAUGGAGCCGGCCUUGAAAUACCACCCUUUAAUGUUUGAUGUUCUAACGUUGACCCGU